AUGAUUAGAGGCAUUGGGGGCG
RNAcentral lists this small nuclear RNA (22 nucleotides) under Arabidopsis thaliana (thale cress). Its description in RNAcentral is "snRNA_11886". Lineage: Eukaryota; Viridiplantae; Streptophyta; Magnoliopsida; Brassicales; Brassicaceae. The record is from RNAcentral.